AGCGAACGCUGGCGGCAGGCUUAACACAUGCAAGUCGAACGGGCGUAGCAAUACGUCAGUGGCAGACGGGUGAGUAACGCGUGGGAACGUACCUUUUGGUUCGGAACAACACAGGGAAACUUGUGCUAAUACCGGAUAAGCCCUUACGGGGAAAGAUUUAUCGCCGAAAGAUCGGCCCGCGUCUGAUUAGCUAGUUGGUGAGGUAACGGCUCACCAAGGCGACGAUCAGUAGCUGGUCUGAGAGGAUGAUCAGCCACAUUGGGACUGAGACACGGCCCAAACUCCUACGGGAGGCAGCAGUGGGGAAUAUUGGACAAUGGGCGCAAGCCUGAUCCAGCCAUGCCGCGUGAGUGAUGAAGGUCCUAGGGUUGUAAAGCUCUUUUGUGCGGGAAGAUAAUGACGGUACCGCAAGAAUAAGCCCCGGCUAACUUCGUGCCAGCAGCCGCGGUAAGGUAGAUGAGU
RNAcentral lists this ribosomal RNA (462 nucleotides) under uncultured bacterium. RNAcentral describes it as "bacterial SSU rRNA". It matches the Rfam family "Bacterial small subunit ribosomal RNA", at positions 29 to 534 of the family's 1533-position model. The record is from RNAcentral.